Molecule: ribosomal RNA, 176 nt
Filed under: Clostridium botulinum Af84
Lineage: Bacteria; Bacillati; Bacillota; Clostridia; Eubacteriales; Clostridiaceae
Description: partial 23S ribosomal RNA
Rfam family: Bacterial large subunit ribosomal RNA
Source: RNAcentral
CUAUGUUGGGACUGGAUAAACGCUGAAGCAUCUAAGCGUGAAGCCAACCUCAAGAUGAGAUUUCCCAUAGCGUAAGCUAGUAAGACUCCUGGAAGAACACCAGGUUGAUAGGUCAGAGAUGUAAGCAUGGCAACAUGUUAAGUUGACUGAUACUAAUAAGUCGAGGGCUUGACCAA